UAGGGAAUCUUGGACAAUGGGCGAAAGCCUGAUCCAGCCAUGCCGCGUGAGUGAAGAAGGCCCUCGGGUUGUAAAGCUCUUUUUGCGGGGACGAUAAUGACGGUACCCGCAGAAUAAGCCCCGGCUAACUUCGAGCCAGCAGCCCCGGUAAUACGAAGGGGGCUUGCGUUGUUCGGAAUUACUGGGCGUAAAGCGCACGCAGGCGGAUUGGUAAGUUAGAGGUGAAAUCCCGGGGCUCAACCUCGGAAUUGCCCUUGAUACUGCCAGUCUUGAGUCCGGGAGAGGUGAGUGGAAUUCCUAGUGUAGAGGUGAAAUUCGUAGAUAUUAGGAAGAACACCAGUGGCGAAGGCGGCUCACUGGCCCGGAACUGACGCUCAUGUGCGAAAGCGUGGGGAGCAAACAGGAUUAGAUACGCCCGUAGUCC
Molecule: ribosomal RNA, 424 nt
Filed under: uncultured prokaryote
Description: bacterial SSU rRNA
Rfam family: Bacterial small subunit ribosomal RNA
Source: RNAcentral